AAAUAAUAGACCCAUGUCUAUAACCGAAUCAUUCAGAUAAAACCGUAAAACAAACCGGAGAGUAUAAUUUGUGAUUAAUCCCCAAUUCUGCAAAUCUCUAGGGUUAGGGUUUUUUCUUUUCCACUAAAAUCGAAGAAUGGAAGUAAAACAAUUACUGAAGAACAAGAAUUUCUGGUUUGCUUCUUUUCUCAUUGGUUGGGCUGCUGCACUUCAGGGGCACAUGAUGUGGUUGCAAAGGCAAGAUUCAUUCAAGCAGAAGUUUGCUACACUAAAUCAAAAUGAUAAUGAUAGUAAUCAUAGCUAAAAAAUGAUACAUUCGCCCGCACGGGUUUGGUUUAGGGGUCUAAAUUUCAGCCAUCUGGGCGUUAUGGUCACAGGUUUAAACUCUGUCUACGCCUUUCUAAUAAAUGGAGUGGUUGGGACUUAGCUACUGGCCAUUAUAGCCUGAUGUUGUCAUGUAUGUGGGCUUGCUGGCUGUCCAAAUUCUGGGGUCUUUCGGCUCGGGUGAGUCCUCAUCACCAACGAAAAAUGAUACUUAUCAAGUUUUUUUUUCUUAUUUAUUGUUUUGAUAUUAUAAGACUGAUCAAUAACUGUUUAUGUAAAGAAAAUGUGGUUCUUGAAUAUAAGAUUUUGGUUCACAA
This is an RNA transcript of Mercurialis annua (annual mercury), 641 nucleotides long. RefSeq lists it as uncharacterized. The record is from RefSeq and is a predicted model, not a curated record. The transcript is spliced from 2 exons. NCBI's taxonomy places the organism in Eukaryota, Viridiplantae, Streptophyta, Magnoliopsida, Malpighiales, Euphorbiaceae.